UUCUUUGUCCCAGAUGGAAUGUUCCUUAAUCUCAUCUGAUCUCAGAAACUAAGCAGGGUUGGGUGUGGUUUGUAGUUGGAUUGGGGAUCACAUGAGAAUAGUGGGUGCUAAGGGCU
This 116-nucleotide ribosomal RNA is filed under the name Notamacropus eugenii (tammar wallaby). The record is from RNAcentral. Lineage: Eukaryota; Metazoa; Chordata; Mammalia; Diprotodontia; Macropodidae.